Molecule: long non-coding RNA, 431 nt
Organism: Cimex lectularius (bed bug)
Lineage: Eukaryota; Metazoa; Arthropoda; Insecta; Hemiptera; Cimicidae
Exons: 3
Source: RefSeq, a predicted model, not a curated record
CUCGCGGAUUGCCUCCUGGCGGAUUGUUUCCUUGUCGAUUGCUUCCUGACGGAUUGCUUUCUCGUCGAGGGCCUUCCUUCUGCCAUAAUGUAAAACAUAUGUUAUACCGAAGCCGAUAUUCGUUCUCCAAGAACAAAGUACAGAUUCUGCAAUAUUUUGAAUGGUGAACAAUCGCUUACUGAUGAGUAUUUGAAUUUAUAACAAAAAAAAUCGUUGACAAUUUAAUCGUCCUUAAUUAAAGAGGACGAAGUACACUGGGGUGAAUGGGAGACGUCUGGAGAGUAAAACUCACUUAUUAGCGAGAAUGGAGUUGGUUCACCAAUACAUGGAACAUCAAGUACUCUGAGGUAGUAAAUAACACCAACUUGUAUGCUUAUGGUGAUGUUUAUACACUGAUGGACAAAUGAAGCGCACUAUUCAAUAAAUUUAGU